CUGAAGUGAUUCUCCAGCUUCAGCCUUACAGACGAGUACCACCAACACCUGGCUAAUUUUUGUGUAUGUGUGUGUGUUUUUUUGUAGAGAUGGAGUUUCGCCAUGUUGCCCAAGCUGGUCUCAAACUCCUGAGCUCAAGGGAUCCAGCCACUUCAGCCUCCCAAAGUGCUGGGAUUACAGGUGUGAGCCACCGCGCCUGGCCUUCUUUGUCCAUUUCUAAUCCUGGGGUCCUAUGACUCCUAGCAUGAAGCUUUCCUCAACAGGCUUCUCAGAUAUGUAUUGACUCCAGCCACAUGAGCUAGAGACUGUUUUCAGAGUCAUCCUGGUCAGUUCUUGACAACCUGGUAGCCACCAGACCACAGAAGGGCAGGUGAACCUGUCUCGAUCCACUUAGAGGUUCUGCAAGGUUCUUGGAGCCUGGCUGGAGGAGCCUCCUCAGCAGCACUGCUGUGUCAAUGUCUAAUAUUAAGGAUAUAGCUUAAACACAGUCUUCUCUCCAACUCCAUCUUGGAGAGGAUCCCUGGAGGUACAGAGAGAAGUAAAGAAGGUAAGCGGGGCACGAGGACAAACAAAGAAUGGAGACAGGAGAGUGAGAGGGCAUGGAGGGAGAGCGAGCUGGGACAUACAGAAAUCUAUCCUAAAAUUCAUUGGAAUCUCAAGGGACCCCCAAAAAUCAAAACAAUCUUGAAAAAGAACAAAGUUGGAGGCCUCACACUUUCUGAUUUCAAAACCCACUGCAAAGUUAAAGUAAUUUUUUAAAAGUGUGGUACUAUCAUAAAGACAGACAUAUAGACCAGUGGACUAGACUAGAUAGCUCAGAAAUAAACCUUUGCACAUAUGGUCAAACAAUUUUUGGUAAGAGUUCCACAACUAUUCAAUAGGGGAAAGAAUGGUCUUUUCAAUAAAUGGUGGUGGAAAAACUGGAUAUUCUCAUGGAAAAGAAAACUAAAGUUGGAUUCUUUUUUUUUUUUUUUUUGAGACAGAAUCUUACUCUGUUGCCCAGGCUGGAGUGUAGUGGCGCAAUGUCAGCUCACUGCAACCUCCGCCUCCCGGGUUCAAGCAAUUCUCUUGCCUCAGCCUCCUGAAUAGUGGGAUUAUAGGCAUGCACCACCACGCUCGGCUAAUUUUUGUAUUUUUAGUAGAGACAGGGUUUCACCACAUUGGCCGGGUUGGUCUCGAACCCCUGACCUCGUGAUCUACCCGCCUCAGUCUCCCAAAGUGCUGGGAUUACAGGCGUAAGCCACCACACCCGGCCUGGAUUCUUACCUUAUAUCAUAUGCAAAGAUUAACUCAAAAUGGAUCUAAGAUCUAUACAUAAAAGCUAAAACUAUAAAACUCCUAAAGGAAAACAUAGGGCAAAACCUCAUGACUUUGGAUUUGUCAAUAAUUUCUUGGAUAUGACACCAAAAGCACAGGGAACCAAAGAAAAAAUAGUUGGAUUCACGGAAAUUAAAAACUUCUGUGCAUCAAAGAACACUAUCAGUAGAGUAAAAAGGCAACCUACAGAACCGGAUGGAAUAUUUAUAAAUCGCAUAUCUGAUAAGUGACCGAUAUCCAGAAUAUAUAAAGAACUCUUCCAACUCAACAAAAACAACCGGAUUUUAAAAUGGGCAAAAAACUUGAAUAUUCUCAAAAGAAGAUAUGCAAAUGGCCAAUAAAAAUAUGGAAAGACAUUAAACAUCACUAAUCAUUAGAGAAAGCAAAUCAAAACCACAACAAAUACCAUUUCAUGCCCAUUGGAAUGCCUACUAUUUAAAAAAUAAGCAUCCCUGACCCUUGUUAUCCUGCAUUGUGGUUAGUAGAUGCACCUGACUUAGCUUACUUCCAAGAAUGCCUGAAGUCUUAUUAGGUCUCCUGAAAUGGUGGUUAGAAAAAUCAAUAAACAAACAAAAACUAUUAUCCACACCAGAUCUCUCCACAGCGCUCAAAAUUAAAAUCAGGUGCUCCUGACUUGUCCCCCUCUUGACUAACCAUGUCAGUUCUCUCUAAAACUAACUGAACUCAAUGACUAGAAAUCUUGGUGAUGCUUUCAAUGUUUUCUUCUUCUAUGCAUGGUGGAGAUUUUGCUCUCUACUGGGUCACUUAAAAUGUCAUGUAUGAAUACUCCAGUAUCUUGUGACAGUUUGAUCAAAAAUAAAUAUGCAGAAUGUAAAAGCACAUUAUCCUAACAGACAGAACCCUCCUCUGUCCUGCAUGAACCACACAUUUCCCAGUUUUUCUCAGUGACUUUUUCACCCCAGAGGAAGCAGAAGAGGCCCUCGACAGCUGGAGCAAUUACAGUUGUGUUUCUUUGUAAUAUGUGACAAGGUAAUCCUUUUUCUUCAGUGGCUUAUUUUGGAUAAAACCAAGUGAAACCAUGGGUGAUGAGGUAAUUCAUUUGUCUGCUG
Molecule: long non-coding RNA, 2387 nt
Filed under: Homo sapiens (human)
Lineage: Eukaryota; Metazoa; Chordata; Mammalia; Primates; Hominidae
Description: HSALNT0172848
Source: RNAcentral